GGGCUAUUGGCGCAGGCAGGUAGCGCAGCAGGCUUUUAACCUGACAUUUAUGGGAAGAUCUCCCUUAAAAAGAAAGGUCGGGGGUUCAAUUCCCCUAUAGCCCGCCA
This 107-nucleotide transfer RNA is filed under the name Promethearchaeota archaeon. Its description in RNAcentral is "Candidatus Lokiarchaeota archaeon (marine sediment metagenome) tRNA-Lys". It matches the Rfam family "tRNA". Rfam says of the family: Transfer RNA (tRNA) molecules are approximately 80 nucleotides in length. Their secondary structure includes four short double-helical elements and three loops (D, anti-codon, and T loops). The record is from RNAcentral. Lineage: Archaea; Promethearchaeati; Promethearchaeota.